Molecule: ribosomal RNA, 253 nt
Filed under: uncultured Parabacteroides sp.
Lineage: Bacteria; Pseudomonadati; Bacteroidota; Bacteroidia; Bacteroidales; Tannerellaceae
Description: partial 16S ribosomal RNA
Rfam family: Bacterial small subunit ribosomal RNA
Source: RNAcentral
UACGGAGGAUGCGAGCGUUAUCCGGAUUUAUUGGGUUUAAAGGGUGCGUAGGUGGCUGCUUAAGUCAGCGGUGAAAGUUUGUCGCUCAACGAUAAAAUUGCCGUUGAAACUGGGUAGCUUGAGUAUGUUUGAGGUAUGCGGAAUGCGUGGUGUAGCGGUGAAAUGCUUAGAUAUCACGCAGAACCCCGAUUGCGAAGGCAGCAUACCAAACCAUUACUGACACUGAAGCACGAAAGCGUGGGGAUCAAACAGG